RNAcentral lists this long non-coding RNA (6753 nucleotides) under Macaca fascicularis (crab-eating macaque). RNAcentral's name for it is "lncRNA (ENSMFAG00000053419.1)". Lineage: Eukaryota; Metazoa; Chordata; Mammalia; Primates; Cercopithecidae. The record is from RNAcentral.
UUUUGAGAACUGAGUAUAAUGCAUCUCAGUGAAGAUCUCUUUACAUUUAAUCUACCUAGUUUAUAGGGGCUAACUUGGCACCAGGGUCCACUGGGGCCUAGGCUUGUGGGCAAAAGCCUGAAAGCAGGGGCCAGGGUUAUAACUUAGAUCCUGGGUCUAUGAUGUCUAGAGUCCUUUAGGCUUUAUAGACCUAGAUGUUCAUUUCCCUCUCCAGAUUUGAGGAAUUUUCUGUUAUUGUUUCUUUAAAUAAACGUUCUGCUGUUUUUAUCUUUCUCUGCUUCUGAAAUUUCUGUAAUGUGUGUUGGUUCACUUGAUGACGUCCCGUAAGUCUGCAGGCUUUCUUCACACUUUUCCAUUCUUCUUUUUGUUCCUUAUACUGGGUAAUUUCAAAUGACCUAUCUUUGAACUCACUAGUUCUUAUCAUUCAAAUCUGCUGUUGAAGCUCUCUGAAAUUUUCAGUUCAGUUAUUGUGUUCUUCAGCUUCUGAAUUUCAUUCUUUUUAACGGUUUCUAUUUCUUUGUUGAACAACUCUUUGUUUAUGUAUUCUGAUUAUUGUUUAGUUUGUGUUUUCUUGUAGCCCACUAAACUUCUUUCAGAUAAUUAUUUUAAACUCUUAGGCAGUUCAUAGAUCUGCAUUUCUGUAAGGUCUGUUAAUGGUGUUUUAUUUUGUUCCUUUGGUGUCAUGUUUUUCUGAUUAUCUGUAAUCCUUGGGGCCUUAAAUUGAUGUUUGCAUAUUUAAAGAAGUAGGCAGCUUUUUCAGUCUUUACAGACUGGAUUCAGCAGGGAAAGCUCUUCACCAGUCAGCCUGAAGAUUCUAGGUAAGCUAACUAAUGGGGUUUAUCAGUGGGUUUGUGAUAUGGUUUAAAUGUUUGUUCCCUCCAAAUCUCAUGUUGACAUGUGAUUCCCAAUGUUGGAAGUGGGGCCUGGUUGGAGGUCAUUGGAUCAUGGGGGCAGAUCCCUCAUGAAGGUUUUAGCACCAUCCCCUUGGUAAUAAGUGAGUUCUUGCUCUGAGUUCAUGUGAGAUAACUGGUUGUUUAAAAGUGUGUGGAACCUACCCCCCUUCUCUGGCUCCUGUUCUUAUCAUGUGACUUGCCUAUUCCCACUUCAUCUUCCUCCAUAAUUGUAAGGUUCUUGAGACCCUCACCAGAAGCAGAUGCUGGAGCCAUCUUGAUGCAGCCUACAGGUUGAUGAGUCAAUUAUAACUCUUUACUUUACAAAUUACUAAGCCAUGGGUAUUUCUUUACAGCAGUGCAAGAAUGGCUUAACACAGCUUGGUAUUGGAGUCCUUGAGCAUGCUACCCUGGUCCCUCAGCAAGUAGGUGGGCAGGCUUGGUGCUUGGAUCUACAAUGACCAGCUUGGAGCCUGGGUCCGCUAGGGUGGCACUGGAGCUUAGGUCCAUGCAGGCAGGCCUAUCAUUAAGAAGGGCCUCACAUCUGGGACCAUGGGGAUGAGCCUGGUUCUGAGUCUGUGGGCCUAGAGUCUACAGGGGUGCAAUGGGAGCCAGCUUGGCCCUGGAGCAGGCCUUAAGGCUGAUCUUCAGAUCCAACACAAACCCUCAUCCCAUGAGUGCUAGUCUAGAGAAUGAGACUGCAGAGGCUUACCUGGAACCUGAGGCUGUGGGACAAGUCUGAAGCCUGGGGCUUUGUGAGGAUGGCCUGGUGCUGGAGCAGACCUGGAGCCUGAGGCUAUGAGGGCAGACCUAUUGCUAGAGUUGGACUAGGACCUGUGUCUGCAAGGUGGCCCUAGAGCCUGGGGCUACAAAAGGCCACCUGACAAUGGGAAAGACCUGGAGUCUGGAGCCAUAGAAACACCUUUAGUUAUACUAACUAAGAAAAAAGACUGAACUAUAUAAUAUUAUAAAUAAAAGCAGAAACAUUACAACUGACACUGCAGGUAUACAUAGGACCAUAAGAAAUUGUUAUAAUAAUUAUAGACCAAUAAAUUUGAUAGCCUAGAUAAAAUUAGUAAAUUCAUAGGCAUAUACAACCUAUCAAGAUUGAAACCAAGAAAUAGAAAAUCUUAAUACAUCAAUGACAAGUAAGGAGAUUAAAUCCCCACCUAACAAAGAAAAACUCAAGACAUGAAGGCUCCACUGGUGAAUUUUAACAAACACUUACAGCAAAAUGAAUGUAAUGCCAAUUCCACUCAAACUUUUCUGAAAAAUUGAAGGAAAAGGAAUACUUUCAAACUCAUUUUAUGAGGCCACAAUUACCCUAAUACCAAAACCAGAGGACACUACAAGCAAAGAAAAUUAGAGGCCAAUAUCUCUGAUGAACAUAAAUGUAAAACUCUUCAAUAAAAUACAAGCAUACUGAAUUCAACAGCACAUUAAAAAGAUUAUACACUUUGAGCAAGUGGGAUUUAUCCCUAGAAUGCAAAAAUGGCUCAACAUAUGCAAAUAAAUAAGUGUGACACACUAUGUUAACAAAAUAAUGGAUAAAAAUCAUAUGAUCAUCUCAAUAGAUGCAAAGAAAGCACUAGACAAAAUUCAGUAUCCUUUCAUGACAAAAAUGCUCAACUAAUUAAGUAUAGAAAGAAUGUACUUUUAUGGUGGCCAAGAUGGCCAACGAGAAACAAUUAGUAUGCAUGGCUCUGAUGGAGAGGAACAAAAAGAACAAGUAAAUACAGCAUCUCAAAGUGAAACAUCAGGUACUUGCAUUGCAUCUAAUCAAGGAAAUAAUUUGACCCUGGAGAAUGAAGAAAAGCAAGACAGCAUGACGGCCCACACAGGAGCAACACAGAGCCAGGGGAAUCUCUCCCACCCAGGGAAGCAGUGAGUGCAUGUGCGAUCUCAGGAACCCACACUUCUCCCACAAAUUUUUGCAACCCAUGGGCCAGGAGAUCUUCUUGUGAACCCACUCCACUGGGGUCUUUUGUGGACAAACAGAGCUGUGGAAUCUCAGCAGAGCAGCUGCUCAGGCAUGCAUGGAGUCCUGAGAACCUUAGCUACUCAGGAUUUCUGGCAAAAGUAGCUGCAACUCCAGCAAAGUGGGAGGUUAGAUCCCUGCACAUACCCUUAGGAAAGAGGCUGAAUCCAGGGGACUGAGCAGUGACAGCCUGCAGGCCCCACUUCCAUGGCACCUCACAGGAUAAGACCCAUUAGCUUGGAGUUCCAGCCAGCCACUGGUGGCAGCAUUGCCCUUCCCAGUGAUGGGGUUCCCAGGAGAAGGGGCAGGCCACCAUCUUUCAUCUUUGUUGUUUGAGCUACUUAGCCCCCAACCAAGCCUUCAGAAUUUGGAGAGUCUUGGCUGACCACAGGCAGAAGGGACCCACUAAGAACAGCAUAGCUGCUCUAACAAAACGUGGCCAAACUGCUUCUUUAAGUGGGUGCCCAAUCCCAUCACUCUUCCCUGAGUAGGACUUCCCAACCAGGGCCUCCAGCCACCCCCAUUAGUGUUCUCCAGCCAACAGAGAUUUUAAUACAUUGGGAUGAAGCUCUCAGCAUGAAGGGUGGGCCACCAUCCUUGCUGUUUGGGCAACUUAGCUACUCCAACAUUCAGGCUUUGGGGUGUCUGAGGCAAUGGGGAACUGAAGUGGAUCCCAAGCACAGCUUAGCUGCUCUAUGAAAUGAUGGCCAGACUGCUUUUUAAAGUGGGUCCCCAAUCACAUUUCUCCUCAUUGAGUGGGGCCUUUCUAUCAGGGUCUCAGGCCACCUCCUACAGGUGUGUUCAGGCUAGCAACAGGCCUGCACCUCCCUGGAAUGAAGCUCCCAGAGGGAUGGGCACGUUGCCAUAUUUGCUAUUUAACAGCCUUCACUGGUGAUAUCUCCAGGCACUGGAAAAUCCGAGGUGACUAGGGACUGGAGUGGGCCCCUAGCAUACCGCAGAAGCCCUAUGGAAAAGUGGCCAGACUGUUAUGUGGGUGCCCAUUCCCGUAUCUCCUUACCAGACAGGUCCUCCAGGCUUGGCCUCCAGCCACCCACCACCAGAGCUAUCAAGCCAAUAGCAACUCAGCAACUCCCUGGACAGAACCUUCCAGGGCAACUGAAAACCUCUCUGCCCCUGCCUCUGCAAUGGAACUGCCUUUGCCACCCUUGGACUAACAUAGGAACAAAGACCCUAAGUGCCUUAUACACACCUCCAACAAGCUACAUUUGACCCAAGAAGAGGAAGCCAGACAAUUUUCCAUGGGUCCCCCACACCCCCCAUUGCUCAUCACCAGACAAGGAAUCCCCGGCUUGGGCCCACCAGCACAGACCCUCCAUCUUGGGCUAAUUGCACUGAGCAGCUGCUGACCUGCAUCUUUCUGGGGUAGGGCCCCUGGGAGACAAGCAAAAGACCCUUGUCCACAACCACUACUAAGGUCCUUCCUUUCUGCCUCCAAUUUGAGGAAGGAACAUCAACACUGAGAUCACCCCAGAGCUGCAGUGGGCAGCCCAGGAGCGCCAAGCCACGAUCUACAGCCAGCACUCAAAGGAGAGAGAAACCAAUACUUUCAGAGCAUUGAGAGGGAACAUGGCCACAACUGUGAGGAAACAUAGGGGAGCCACACAACCAAGCAAGAGUCUACAAACUGACCAACAAACACAAGUGCCACCUGCUGGAUCACACCCUAAACCUUUAACACCAAAAAUACCUCACUAACAUGCCCUCCUCUGAAACCAGAGACAAGAAGUCAGCUUCAAACAAGGCCCUGCACAAAGACUUGGCCCUGCGAAAACAUCCAGAAAAAGAAGUCUAUUGAUGUAUUCAAUCUACACUGCAGUUAAAGGAACACCAACACGCAGAGAUGAGAAAGAACCAACGCAAGAACUCCAAUAACUCAAGUGGCCAGAUUGUCAUAUGUCCUCCAAAUGGCACACCAGUUAUCCAACAAGAGUUCUUAACCAGGCUGAAAUGGCUGGAAUGACAGAAAUAGAGUACAAAAUAUGGAUAGAAACAAAAAUCUUCGAGAUUCAGAAGGAUGGCAAAACCCAAUGCAAGGAAAAUAAGAAUCACAAUAAAGCAAUACGGGAGCUGAAGGACAAAAUAACCAGUAUAAAAAAGAACCAAUGCAUCUGACAGAGCUGAAUAACAUAAUACAAUAAUAUCACAAGUAUUAACAGCAGAAUAAAUCAAGCUGAGGAAAGAAUCUCAGAACUUGAAGACUGGAAAUAAGAACACUUUUACACUGUCAGUGGGACUGUAAACUAGUUCAACCAUUGUGGAAGACAGUGUGGCGAUUCCUCAAGGAUCUAGAACUAGACAUACCAUUUGACCCAGCCAUCCCAUUACUGGGGAUAUACCCAAAGGAUUAUAAGUCAUGCUGCUUUAAAGACACAUGCACAUGUAUGUUUAUUGUGGCACUAUUCACAAUAGCAAAGACUUGGAAUCAACCCAAAUGUCCAUCAGUGACAGACUGGAUGAAGAAAAUGUGGCACAUAUACACCAUGGAAUACUAUGCAGCCAUAAAAAAGGAUGAGUUUAUGUCCUUUGUAGGGACAUGGAUGCAGCUGGAAACCAUCAUUCUCAGCAAACUAUCACAAGAACAGAAAACCAAAUACCACAUGUUCUCACUCAUAGGUGGGAACUGAACAAUGAGAUCACUUGGACACAGGAAAGGGAGCAUCACACACCAGGUCCUAUAGUGGGGAGGGGGUAGGGGGCAGGGAUAGCAUUAGGAGAUAUACCUAAUCUAAAUGGCGAGUUAAUGGGUGCAGCACACCAACAUGGCACAUGUGUGUAUAUAUAUAUAUAUAUAUAUAUAUAUAUAUAUAUAUAUAUGUAAUAAACCUGCACGUUGUGCACAUGUACCCUAGAACUUAAAGUAUAAUAAUUAUAAAAAAAAUCCUAUCAUCCGCAAAAAAAAAAGCUAUUCCACCAUGGUCAAUUAGGCUUUAUUCCUGGGUUGCAAGGUUGGUUCCAUAUACACAAAUCAAUAAAUGUGAUUCAUCACAUGAACAGAACUAAAGACAAAAACCACAUGAUUAAUAGACACAGAAAGUGCUUUUGACAAAAUGCAACAUUCUUUCAUGUUAAAAAUUCUCAAUCAACUAGGUAUUGAAGGAACACACAUUAAAAUAGUAAGAGCCAUCUAUGACAAACCCACAGCUAACAUUGCUGAAUUGGCAAAAGUUGGAAGCAAAUCCUCUGGAAAACAAGCACAAGACAAGGACGCCCUCUCUUGCCACUUCUAUUCAACAUAGGAUGAAGUACUGGCCAGAGCAAUAAGAGAAGAGAAAGAAAUAAAGAACAUCUAAAUAGGAAGAGAGGAAGUCAAACUAUGUCUGUUUGCAGACAACAUGAUUGUAUAUCUAGAAAACCCUAUGGUCAUGGGCCAAAAUCUCUUUGAGCUGAUAAACAACUUCAGCAAAGCUACGGGAUACAAAAAUCAAUGUACAAAAAUCACUAGCAUUCCUAUACACCAACAAGAUCCAAACCAAGAGUCAAGUCAGAAAGGUAAUCCCAUUCACAAUUGCCAUAAAAAGAAUAAAAUACCUAGGAAUACAGCUAACCAGGGAGGUAAAAGAUCUCUACACUGAGAAUUACAAAACACUGCUCAAAGAAAUCAGAAAAGACACAAACAAAUGGAAAAACAUUCCAUGCUCAUGAAGAUGAAGAAUUAAUAUUGUUUAAAUGGCCAUACUGCCCAAAGCAAUAUACAGAUUAAAUUCUAUUGCUAUCAGACUACCAACAACAUUCUCCACAGAACUAGAAAAAAGGCUAUUUUAAAAUUGAUAUAGAGCCAAAAAAGAGCCCAAAUAGCAAAAGCAAUCCUAAGCAAAAAGAACAAAGCUGGAGGCAUCACAUUACUCACUUCAAACUAUACUACAG